UUUAGUUGCGGGCGAAAGUGCCGUAUACCUGUGUUCCCGAAUUAACGUUUAAGCGAUCUCUAAGAUCGCCGGCCACAGGGUAGCCGUGGUUCAUUACCACGGCUUUUUUGUAUG
Molecule: non-coding RNA, 114 nt
Filed under: unclassified sequences
Description: DUF3800-I RNA
Rfam family: DUF3800-I RNA
About the family: Actinobacteria, Firmicutes, Fusobacteria, Proteobacteria (1 example), Tenericutes (2 examples). Terminator (Clostridia)
Source: Rfam by way of RNAcentral